AGAGUUUGAUCAUGGCUCAGAUUGAACGCUGGCGGCAGGCCUAACACAUGCAAGUCGAACGGUAACAGGAAACAGCUUGCUGUUUCGCUGACGAGUGGCGGACGGGUGAGUAAUGUCUGGGAAACUGCCUGAUGGAGGGGGAUAACUACUGGAAACGGUAGCUAAUACCGCAUAACGUCGCAAGACCAAAGAGGGGGACCUUCGGGCCUCUUGCCAUCGGAUGUGCCCAGAUGGGAUUAGCUUGUUGGUGGGGUAACGGCUCACCAAGGCGACGAUCCCUAGCUGGUCUGAGAGGAUGACCAGCCACACUGGAACUGAGACACGGUCCAGACUCCUACGGGAGGCAGCAGUGGGGAAUAUUGCACAAUGGGCGCAAGCCUGAUGCAGCCAUGCCGCGUGUAUGAAGAAGGCCUUCGGGUUGUAAAGUACUUUCAGCGGGGAGGAAGGGAGUAAAGUUAAUACCUUUGCUCAUUGACGUUACCCGCAGAAGAAGCACCGGCUAACUCCGUGCCAGCAGCCGCGGUAAUACGGAGGGUGCAAGCGUUAAUCGGAAUUACUGGGCGUAAAGCGCACGCAGGCGGUUUGUUAAGUCAGAUGUGAAAUCCCCGGGCUCAACCUGGGAACUGCAUCUGAUACUGGCAAGCUUGAGUCUCGUAGAGGGGGGUAGAAUUCCAGGUGUAGCGGUGAAAUGCGUAGAGAUCUGGAGGAAUACCGGUGGCGAAGGCGGCCCCCUGGACGAAGACUGACGCUCAGGUGCGAAAGCGUGGGGAGCAAACAGGAUUAGAUACCCUGGUAGUCCACGCCGUAAACGAUGUCGACUUGGAGGUUGUGCCCUUGAGGCGUGGCUUCCGGAGCUAACGCGUUAAGUCGACCGCCUGGGGAGUACGGCCGCAAGGUUAAAACUCAAAUGAAUUGACGGGGGCCCGCACAAGCGGUGGAGCAUGUGGUUUAAUUCGAUGCAACGCGAAGAACCUUACCUGGUCUUGACAUCCACGGAAGUUUUCAGAGAUGAGAAUGUGCCUUCGGGAACCGUGAGACAGGUGCUGCAUGGCUGUCGUCAGCUCGUGUUGUGAAAUGUUGGGUUAAGUCCCGCAACGAGCGCAACCCUUAUCCUUUGUUGCCAGCGGUCCGGCCGGGAACUCAAAGGAGACUGCCAGUGAUAAACUGGAGGAAGGUGGGGAUGACGUCAAGUCAUCAUGGCCCUUACGACCAGGGCUACACACGUGCUACAAUGGCGCAUACAAAGAGAAGCGACCUCGCGAGAGCAAGCGGACCUCAAUAAAGUGCGUCGUAGUCCGGAUUGGAGUCUGCAACUCGACUCCAUGAAGUCGGAAUCGCUAGUAAUCGUGGAUCAGAAUGCCACGGUGAAUACGUUCCCGGGCCUUGUACACACCGCCCGUCACACCAUGGGAGUGGGUUGCAAAAGAAGUAGGUAGCUUAACCUUCGGGAGGGCGCUUACCACUUUGUGAUUCAUGACUGGGGUGAAGUCGUAACAAGGUAACCGUAGGGGAACCUGCGGUUGGAUCACCU
This 1531-nucleotide ribosomal RNA is filed under the name Escherichia coli. Its description in RNAcentral is "bacterial SSU rRNA". It matches the Rfam family "Bacterial small subunit ribosomal RNA". The record is from RNAcentral. Lineage: Bacteria; Pseudomonadati; Pseudomonadota; Gammaproteobacteria; Enterobacterales; Enterobacteriaceae.